Molecule: non-coding RNA, 29 nt
Filed under: Homo sapiens (human)
Lineage: Eukaryota; Metazoa; Chordata; Mammalia; Primates; Hominidae
Source: RNAcentral
UGGGGUUGUCGUGAAGAGAUGAACAGGAU